GGAUGUCUGAUCCCCUGGAACAGGAGUUAGAGGUGUAUGCGAACUGCUAUGUGGGUGCUGGAAACUGAACCAGGCUUUUCUGCAAGAGCAGUCAGUGCCCUUAGCCACCGUCUGUCUCUCCAGUCUGAUGGGUAACCAUUCUGAAGAGAAAACACAUUGGUCUCCAGCCUUUUGGUCUGCCCACUCUUAUAACCUCUCCCCAGAAGAGGGGAGAGGAAAAAAGAGGAGUAGGAAGAGGAAGAGGAGGAAGAGGAAGAAGAGGAGGAAGAAGAAGAAGAAGAGGAGGAGGAGGAAGAGAGGAAGAAGGAGAACAAAAACAAACAACAAUAAAAACAACAACAACCAA
Rattus norvegicus (Norway rat) is the source of this 346-nucleotide non-coding RNA. The record is from RefSeq and is a predicted model, not a curated record. Lineage: Eukaryota; Metazoa; Chordata; Mammalia; Rodentia; Muridae.